Molecule: long non-coding RNA, 1506 nt
Filed under: Sus scrofa (pig)
Lineage: Eukaryota; Metazoa; Chordata; Mammalia; Artiodactyla; Suidae
Description: lncRNA (ENSSSCG00070003864.1)
Source: RNAcentral
UUGGAGGAUAGGCCUUUGUUAUGAAGGAUACUUGGUUUAUUUUAAAAUGGUUGUAUUUUCCCUCUUCCUACAGGAAACAGGAGGGAAUUUUUCUCUGACCUUCAUUCUGAGAACCUGGAGAGAGGGGUGGUACCUGGAGGUAAAACCCAUGAAAACAUAGGCCUUCCCCCAAGAUUGGUCCCCCAGGAGUUUUCAACUCUCAAGCUAAUCCACACUCAGCCUCAAGCAAUUCAUCAAAACCACCGUUUAAAUAUUCCUACCAAUAAUUGUCUUCAGUGGCUUCUGCCUCAGGUAAUCUGAUCUCUGCUUUGAUUAUCUAUAUUCACCUGUCUCUCCACAUUUUGGGCUGGCAGUUUGCCCUGUGACCUCAGUUCUCUGGGUCUAAGAAAAGUCAUUGCUUUUGUUUGCUCAAUGUUCUUGUUGUAAUGCUGGGAAAGCUCUCUAUACUUCAGAGCUUAAUAGUAAACAUUUGUGUUGGAAUUUCUCUUAUACCUUGGGGUACAGUGUCAGGACUUGUGUUCAUAACCCAAACAGCACCAAUAAGCCUGCACAACUGGAAGUAUUACUUCUCAAGGAGUCUGGAAGUAACCAGCUGCUGGUGGUAUUGGUUCAGCAGCUCAAUGAUAUCACAUUUGCAAGAUGACUGGCCAGCUUUAGCCAUCCAUCCUUGUCCGAGGCAGGAAAAAUGAGGUAAGGAAUAUGUGUGACCUCUGUUCCUUAAGAAAACAUAGCAUUUUCUAGAAAAGCCCCUCUCCUCCAGCAGAUACUUGCUUGCAAGAUUGUGUCACAUUACCACCCCUAGGUACCUGUGACCCUAGUUGCCUGCUACACAGGCAACAGAGAAGGGGGUGGGGAAUGCCUAUUGAGUUGGACAAUCAACAGUACAUGGUCCUUUGCCUAUUUAUCUUUUAGAAUGUUUGUCUUUUUCUUAUUGAUUUGUAACAUUUCUUUGUUGCCUUUUUUCUAUGUGUCGCAUUUGUUUGGCAAAUAGAUUUUUCCAGUUUUUUGUUUGCAGUUUAAUUUUGUUUCAACAUACGUAAGACUGCCAUUUCGUAAUUGUUAGAUCUAUACAUCUUUCAGUUUAUGGCUUCUUCUUUGUUCUUGUGCUGACAAAAGCCUGGUCCCUUCUGUGAAAACAUGAAUACUCUUUCAUAUUUUCUUCUUGAUCUUUCAUGGUUUCACUUCAAUUUUAAAAAGGAACAAUGGUAUCCUGUUUGACUUCUUAUCCGAGAUGGGGGAAGGAGUGAUUCAGGGAUGUGGGUGCAAAGGAACAGAGGAAACAAAUUUAAUCUACUGCCACUUGAAUGUGGGAAAAACAACCCAUUCCUGCCAACUAUGCAAGAAAGUAUCCUGUGUUAAAAUAUUUAGUGGUGGGCAGUGGUGGCAGCUGGAUAAGGUGGACUCUUUUGGGGGUUUGUUUAAAGGCAAGAAAUGUUUUAUGGCAAACAAACUUCAAAUGCUGACUGGGGAGAAACUGUAACAAAUAAAGACUCUGGUUGCAUUUCA